UAAUACAGAGGGGGCAAGCGUUGUUCGGAAUUACUGGGCGUAAAGGGCGCGUAGGCGGCCCGCUAAGUCGAACGUGAAAUCCCCGAGCUCAACUCGGGAACUGCGUCCGAUACUGGCGGGCUUGAAUCCGGGAGAGGGAUGCGGAAUUCCAGGUGUAGCGGUGAAAUGCGUAGAUAUCUGGAGGAACACCGGUGGCGAAGGCGGCAUCCUGGACCGGCAUUGACGCUGAGGCGCGAAAGCUAGGGGAGCAAACGGGA
This 257-nucleotide ribosomal RNA is filed under the name uncultured prokaryote. Its description in RNAcentral is "partial 16S ribosomal RNA". It matches the Rfam family "Bacterial small subunit ribosomal RNA", at positions 521 to 777 of the family's 1533-position model. The record is from RNAcentral.